UACCAUGCAGUCGAGCGAGACCUUCGGGUCUAGCGGCGGACGGGUGAGUAACGCGUGGGAACGUGCCCUUCUCUACGGAAUAGUCCCGGGAAACUGGGUUUAAUACCGUAUACGCCCUUCGGGGGAAAGAUUUAUCGGAGAAGGAUCGGCCCGCGUUAGAUUAGGUAGUUGGUGGGGUAAUGGCCUACCAAGCCUACGAUCUAUAGCUGGUUUGAGAGGAUGAUCAGCCACACUGGGACUGAGACACGGCCCAGACUCCUACGGGAGGCAGCAGUGGGGAAUCUUAGACAAUGGGGGCAACCCUGAUCUAGCCAUGCCGCGUGAGUGAUGAAGGCCUUAGGGUCGUAAAGCUCUUUCGCUGGGGAAGAUAAUGACUGUACCCAGUAAAGAAACCCCGGCUAACUCCGUGCCAGCAGCCGCGGUAA
This 425-nucleotide ribosomal RNA is filed under the name uncultured Roseobacter sp. RNAcentral's name for it is "bacterial SSU rRNA". It matches the Rfam family "Bacterial small subunit ribosomal RNA", at positions 52 to 523 of the family's 1533-position model. The record is from RNAcentral. Lineage: Bacteria; Pseudomonadati; Pseudomonadota; Alphaproteobacteria; Rhodobacterales; Roseobacteraceae.